AGCAGCCGCGGUAAUUCCAGCUCCAAUAGCGUAUAUUAAAGUUGUUGCAGUUAAAAAGCUCGUAGUUGAAUUUCGGGAUCAUCAGGUUGGUCGUGCCUCUGGUAUGUACUGAUUUCGAUGGUUCCUCCUUCUUGAAGAGCCGUAAUGUCAUUAAUUUGGUGUUGCGGGGAAUCAGGACUGUUACUUUGAAAAAUUAGAGUGUUUAAAGCAGGCAAUCGCUUGAAUACAUUAGCAUGGAAUAAUGAAAUAGGACGUUCGAUCCUAUUUUGUUGGUUUCUAGGAUUGACGUAAUGAUUAAUAGGGAUAGUUGGGGGCAUUAGUAUUCAAUUGUCAGAGGUGAAAUUCUUGGAUUUAUUGAAGACUAACUACUGCGAAAGCAUUUGCCAAGGAUGUUUUCAUUAAUCAAGAACGAAAGUUAGGGGAUCGAAGACGAUCAGAUACCGUCGUAGUCUUAACCAUAAACUAUGCCGACUAGGGAUCGGAUGAUGUUAAUUUUAAUGACUCAUUCGGCGCCUUAAC
This 519-nucleotide ribosomal RNA is filed under the name uncultured Glomeromycotina. RNAcentral describes it as "SSU rRNA". It matches the Rfam family "Eukaryotic small subunit ribosomal RNA", at positions 569 to 1092 of the family's 1831-position model. Lineage: Eukaryota; Fungi; Glomeromycota. The record is from RNAcentral.